This 2541-nucleotide long non-coding RNA is filed under the name Nicotiana benthamiana. Its description in RNAcentral is "long non-coding RNA (NBEN_LNC040086)". Lineage: Eukaryota; Viridiplantae; Streptophyta; Magnoliopsida; Solanales; Solanaceae. The record is from RNAcentral.
GAAGGUCUGAUGGUUCAUGGUCUGCACAUCUUCUAUAAUAUCAUCCGUUUUGGGAUGGGGUGCGCAGGUAUACUCUAAAUUAAUGGUCUUUGCCAGUGACUGUUUUUCAGGUUUUAGAACGCAGUCAGUUUAGCUAAUAUAUAACACUAAAUUUUCGGAAUUCAGAUGAAUUGAGUGAUUGACCAUGCUGUCUUUAAUCAGAUUCAUUUUCUAUUUUCUGCUAAAGGUUGGGUCUGAAUUGUAAGUAUUUUAUGUCGAAGUGAUGCAAAAAGAUCCAUGGGCAUGUAAUCGACAUUUUUCUUUACCCUAAUUGACAAACACUUUUUGGUUUUUACGGAAUUAAGAAUUUGAUCCAUUCCUGACUUUCUUAUUACAAUAGCAUGAUUUAUGGGUAUAUUUUUCUAUACGAAGUAAAUAUUACAUAAACUAGAGACAAAGCUAUUUUAGGCACAUCUUGGCACACUUUCUUUUUCAAGGAUGUGUAUUUCCCAAGUUCCAUUCUUUGCUAAAUCAAAUUUUAGAAAGAAUAAGGUAUCUAAUACUCUAAUUUCCAGUAAUAAAAUGUUGCUAUCUCCAUUCCCAAAUUACUUUAGCAUUAGUUUUUUCCUAAGAAUAUUAAUUGACAGGAACAUACGAAGGCCUGUGAUUACUUUAGCUUUAUUGGACAUCAUGCAAUAUGUUUUUUUCUUUAUUCAUUUGAGUGUUUAAAUUAUUUCUUUUAUUGGACAUCAUGCAAGCAUUAGUUUUUUCCUAAGAAUAUUAAUUGACAGGAACAUACGAAGGCCUGUGAUUACUUUAGCUUUAUUGGACAUCAUGCAAUAUGUUUUUUUCUUUAUUCAUUUGAGUGCUAAAAUUAUUUCUUAAUUCCUUUCUGGUCAUGUACUACUUGAAACAUGAAGGAUGUCAAUGUGCUUAUGUGAAGUAGUUGGUAGAUGGUCUGGGGCUCUGGGCAGUGUGAGCAGUUAACAGACCAAAUUAGUUCUUUUUCGUUCUUUCCUUUUGGGUCUCUCUGUUCCAUUUCAUGCUCAUAAAUUACAAGUUCCAGUAAAUUUUCAAAUAUUCUUUUAUCUGUUAUGUUUACAUCUGCUCUGUUUAAUAUACAUGUUUAGUUGCAUUCUUGAGUAAUAUACAGGUUUUAUUGCCCAGUUAGCUCUACCUUUCUUGAUUUCCAUGUAAGAAUUGAUCUGACUCUAUAAUCUGUCUGGAAUCAGGAUAACAAGAAUUUUCCUUUGGACAUGGAAGGGUUCUUGGUAUUAAUUGGACAUGUCAAUAGGAUACUGGAGGAUAGAAGUAUUGUAUGCUAAGUGUGGGAUUACUAAACUUGGGUGUGACCACGGGGAAGACAAUAUAUUUUGCUCUAGAGAUAGGAUUUGGAAGAGGGCACUCAGUGUGGGGGUAGACAUAUCUUCCUACAUAGUCUAUUCUAUGAUGACAUGAAUAGUAUUUGAUUUUGUUGUUUACCUUCUACUGCUAAUGCUGUUUAGAAAACCUUAGCGAUGGUAGUCCCUCUAUAGAUGGAAACAUGCAUCCAAUGCUCAAAUCGUAAUUAAGGGAAAGUAGCUUCACUUAACACAACCACAUGUAUUAGUUAAUACUUUUACUUACCAUAAAACCAAGAAGAAAAACAAAAAGAAACCCUCUAUGUAUCAGUAUUUUGUUGCAAACUUCAAAGUAAUCUUCUGUUAUCCUCAUGAUGAGUGCCAACAGCAUAGGCAAUAUGUUUUUGGAGCAUUGCACAUUCAAUGUUCUUUUUUGUGACGUCGGAUAAUGUAGCCUUCUGUUUUUCUAGACCCUCUGCCUCAGACCUCAUUGGUGCCUAUAUCAUCUUUGUUUUAGUACUUAGUUUACAGAACUUUGAUUCCAUGGUUAUAUAAUUACUGAGCUAGAUUUUCUACAUACUAACCAGGAGACAAAUGGCAUUGCCCUGUGUCUGGUAUUCUUAAAUCCUUUAAAAGUAUUGACCUUUCAUUUGUAUUUGAAUUGUUAACUAGCAGUUAAAGAGAUAGCGAUUUUAUUUAUCCUCUUUUUGUAGGUGGAGAAAAUGAAGAAAGGGAAGAUCAACGGAAUGAAGAUCCUCCUUAAGAAGAUUUUUGGUUUAUUGCUGAAACUCUAAAUGUUCUAGGAAUCUUUUGUUAUCAAAUAUUUUUAAACUUCUUUAACUUUUGGAUUGUAAAACUUAUGUACAUGGGUUCUAAUAUUUUGCUUUUACGGAUAUUACAACUUGGAUUCCUUUUUUAGGUGGAGAAAAUGAAGAAAGGGAAGAUCAAUCGAAUGAAGAUCAUCCUUAAGAAGAUUUUUGAAUUAUUGCUGAAACUCUAAAUGUUCUAGGAAUCCUUGUUAUCAAAUAUUUUGAAACUUCUUUAACUUUUGGAUUGUAAAACUUCUGUACUUGGUUGUUAACUUUUGAAUUUUUAAACUUAUGUACAUGGGUUCUAAUAUUUUUCUUUUACCGAUAUUACAACUUGGAUUAUAAAUGUUUAUGAUUAGUUUUAUUUUGUGAUUUAUAUAAAUUAUUAUGUAUUAUAAUAUAAUGUAAAUAUU